CACACCAAGUCCAGAAGCCCCAGGAAAGGUCCUACAACUACUGAGAAAACACUGAAGCAGCAUUUGGUGUGAAGUGGUAUCCCAUUACCAGUGCCAAGCUUUGAGGCUGGUCAAGAAGUUGGAGAUGGAAGCCGAUCAAGUGAAGACUAUUCUGGAGGAAGAGAGAAGGGAAGGGAAAACGGUACCAUUGAGGUACGGAGAUCUGAAUGCACAGGUGGAGACACAAGACACAAGCCCGGCACAAUUUUCAAAUAAUUUAUUAGGAAUUUAAAACUGAAAAUAAAACCUGGAAAAAGAAGUUACAGAUGUGGAGAGAAGAGACACCAGAGGGUGGUAACUUGCCGGCUUCGAAACACCGUGUAACAUCUUUUUAAAAAAUUCCCCAAACAAAUCAGAAAACAGAAUUCCAGGGCCCUGAGCCAUGGUUGGGUCCCCUGGGGUGGGAGUGGGAGUCACAGGAAGGGGAGGAGAGGGAAGCUAAGUCUCUCCUGACUCAGCUCAAACGUGUAAAAAAUUAAAAAUAAAACCCAAUAAAAUGCAGCUUCUCUUUUAUUAGGAAACAUCAAAAAAAAAAAAA
Long non-coding RNA from Manis javanica (Malayan pangolin), 577 nucleotides. RefSeq lists it as uncharacterized. Lineage: Eukaryota; Metazoa; Chordata; Mammalia; Pholidota; Manidae. The record is from RefSeq and is a predicted model, not a curated record.